RNAcentral lists this ribosomal RNA (509 nucleotides) under uncultured Prevotellaceae bacterium. RNAcentral describes it as "bacterial SSU rRNA". It matches the Rfam family "Bacterial small subunit ribosomal RNA", at positions 8 to 507 of the family's 1533-position model. The record is from RNAcentral. Lineage: Bacteria; Pseudomonadati; Bacteroidota; Bacteroidia; Bacteroidales; Prevotellaceae.
AGAGUUUGAUCCUGGCUCAGGAUGAACGCUAGCUACAGGCUUAACACAUGCAAGUCGAGGGGCAGCAUGGAAGAAGCUUGCUUCUUCUGAUGGCGACCGGCGCACGGGUGCGUAACGCGUAUCAAACCUGCCUCAUACUCGGGGAUAGCCUUGCGAAAGUAAGAUUAAUACCCGAUGUUGUUAUGUUACCGCAUGGUGAUAUAACCAAAGAUUUAUCGGUAUGAGAUGGUGAUGCGUCCGAUUAGGUAGUAGGCGGGGUAACGGCCCACCUAGCCUUCGAUCGGUAGGGGUUCUGAGAGGAAGGUCCCCCACACUGGAACUGAGACACGGUCCAGACUCCUACGGGAGGCAGCAGUGAGGAAUAUUGGUCAAUGGACGAAAGUCUGAACCAGCCAAGUAGCGUGCAGGAUGACGGCCCUCUGGGUUGUAAACUGCUUUUAGUUGGGAAUAAAAAGAGGACGUGUCCUCUAUUGUAUGUACCUUCAGAAAAAGGACCGGCUAAUUCCGUG